Molecule: RNA transcript, 2521 nt
Organism: Spinacia oleracea (spinach)
Lineage: Eukaryota; Viridiplantae; Streptophyta; Magnoliopsida; Caryophyllales; Amaranthaceae
Gene name: E3 ubiquitin-protein ligase BRE1-like 2
Exons: 8
Source: RefSeq, a predicted model, not a curated record
AUAUUAUUUACAAUAACAAAAAUAAUUACUUAAUUUAAAAUAAUCGAUAAAAUACAAAGCUGUGUUUACGAUAACGGUUGUGUAUUCUGGAUUUUAGAAAAAGAUUUUCUAAUAAUAAAAAACUUAUUAAUAAUAUAAUCUACAUUAUUAGCGGCUGCAAUACUCCAUCAAAGAAACCCAAAAGCAAGAGAACUAAUUUUUUCAAUUGAAACACAAAGUAAUUAGGCGGCAAUCCCCAAUAUACUACCCAAAAGAAAAAGCAAACUCCAAAAAAAGAAAAGAAAAAAAAAACUAAGAGCAAACUGAAGGCGAGAUUGAAACCCCACAAAAGCAAAGCAUCGUCGCGCCUUAACCACCGCCUUCCACCUAUCUCCUCAAUUUACUGCCGACGCCUUUCCCACCGCCUCUAGGCUUCCGGUGAAUGUCGUGUGUCCCGUCGCUUCCGUCAAUUCCGAGGGAAUACCACCGCCGCCAUAAGGUAUACGAGAGGCACUCUAAGACGUUGUUGUUAUUAUUGUUGCUUGGAAGGAUUCGUCGUUCUGCCAGAAGUGUAGCAGUAUAUACUGCAAUCCCUUAGGUUUCGGUCCCUUGAAGAGCUUGACGAGGUUAAGAGAAGCUGCAGAAAACCGUUGGAUGGACAUAAUUGACGUAGGAGGAAGAGACAGCCUGAAGCAUUUUACAUGCCUAGUUUUGCUGCUGGCUUUUUGUCAUAUCAUACAGCAGAUGGAAUGCUCCAUCAGUUUUGCUGCCCACAAACUCAAACUGUAAAUUGGCCUACAAUGUCACAGCCUCCUGAUCUGUACUUCAGAAUUAAUCAAGAAACAAUUUAUGAGCCACUUCUAAAUGGGAUUUCCGUUGGUCAAACCGUAAGCAGGACACUGAUAGUUUCAGCUGACGACUCGGGAUUUGCUCUCUCUCUUCUGUCAAAGUAUUCAUCAGAUAUCUGUGUGGAACCUGCUAUGCAACCAACACCUAUAAGUUCAUCAACAGGUCAAGGUCAAGGUAUUGCUGUUGAUGAAAAAUCUUUCGGUCCAUUUGCUAAGCCCUGAAUUUAAGGAAUAUGUGGAUGAAGAUGCUACCGUUGGACUGGAAGCCUUUUCUCGAAUACCACAUGUUGUGCCGGUAAUUGCAAAUGCGGGGUUUUCCCGAGUUUAUCCUUGUGAUUUAAACGUUAUCUUAGCGCAGUUUCAAAGAGGAAAAGUAAUCAAGAGCUUGUGUAUGAAAUUACAAGAUACAACUGAAUUUACCGUAUCAGAUGCUAUCCGUGAACUUAAAAGUACUCCAGGAUUUGAUAGCAGAGGAUGCUAAUAGUAUUCAAGUGGUCAUUGAUGGUCUCCGUCAAAAGCACUCGGAGCAUGCUAAUAAAAUCCAGAGUUAUAUACAAAACCAGUCAGUUGAUGAAACCGAGAUUAAAUAUUUGCAGUUCUGAACUUGCAGGAAGGGGUAAGAGUGCUUCAAUUGUUUUUAAAAGAGGUGAUCGUGUAGGCGAAUUAACUACCUAACACCUGUUAACUGGAAUCUGUAAAGCUGAAGCUUCGGUUGUAAUGAAGGUGUCCAACUAAGAGGGUGAAGGAGGCACGUGAGAGGAUGAAAUUGCUGAUUGUUUUUAAUAUUUAUAAAUAAAACCUGUUUUUAGUUAUAAUUGAGUAAGUUUCAGGCUGUAACCUAAUUUAGUUGGUUCUGUGGCAUGCGUAACUGGAAUUUUUAUUCAUGGGUAUAGUAGCUCUCUGAAUCCUGCAAUCCUACAUAAUUAUGAUCAAGUCAUGUUAGUAUUGUAUCUAACUAACUGAAUGGUUUCAGGCUGGCCUGUCUAAGAAGUCUGGAGGUUGUGUUUUUGCGCUUCAAGAUGAACAGCUGCAGGCCACCCAACAGUGCACGCAAAGCACCAGAACCACAAUCUUGAUGGUCGUUCAAUCCAUGAACAUGAAGCAGCUAAUACAUGAGAGCUCGCCCCUUCUCCUGUGAGUGAGCAAACUAGCAGCCGGUGGAAGGCCCCGCUAACUACUCCACACAAGCUGAACACAGACGAUGCUACAUCGGUGAGAAUGACAUGGUUGGGUAUGGUGGUCUGAGACAAUGUAGGUGACGUGCUAAUGGCUGCAGGCAUGAGGAUUGAUGCUGCUCUACCAGCUCUUCAAGCUGAAGCCGAAGCAGUACGGUUUGGCAUGAGUAUGCUUAUGAAGCAGGCUACCGCUCCGUUGAGGUUGAAACUGAUUCCCUUGCGUUACUGAAGCUGCUGCAGAGGGACAACAGUGAGAGAUCGUCUGUCCAAGUUCUUGUUGAUGGUAUUCUCAGCUAUGUUCAGAAGUUUAUGCGUUGUAGGUUUCUUUUGCCGGUAGAAUUUGUAAUAAGGUUGCCGAUUGCAUGGCCAAAUCAGCUCUUUCUUUCGAAGAGAUUAAGAUUUGUAUGGAAGAAAGCCCCACUUUUGCUACCCCUUAAUUCUGAUGGACAAGGAGGGAUUGAUUGAUAUAUAUACUCUAUUUUCUCGUCCAAGUAUAUAUAUUUCCAUUUUCUCGUCCAA